RNAcentral lists this small RNA (486 nucleotides) under Arabidopsis thaliana (thale cress). RNAcentral's name for it is "ATSL043230". The record is from RNAcentral. Lineage: Eukaryota; Viridiplantae; Streptophyta; Magnoliopsida; Brassicales; Brassicaceae.
GAUAUUUAAAAAAAUAGAAAUGAUAAAAUUAAAAAAACACAACUAUUGACUAAUUAAGACACUAAAUAAAGGUAACAAUACAAAUUAAAUAACUCAAACAACUCUCGAUCUUGGUCUCAAAUUUACUUAAUUUAUUUUAUAUCACUAUUAGCUGAUCUUCAAUAUGUAUAGAUAAAUAUUUAUGGUGGAAAUUAAUGGAAUAUGUAUUAUAUUCUCUUGUGAAUUUGGUCAAAGAGAAUGUAUAUUUCAAACAUAAACUGUAAGUUGACUAAAUGCAAAGCUUUUUGAACCAAAAGAAAAACCUUGACCCAGUGGUUUUAAUGAAAAAAUAUAUUUUAACAGUAUCUAACAUACAUAUUGUUUCAUGCACUGCUCACAUAAUUUGGUGUAUUGAUUACUUUUUUACUAAACUAUAUCUUCUAAAUUAUAAGAGACUAGAUAAGGCCCGCCUUAUUGAUAAUAUUUUUUUAUCGAUAAUAUUUAAAA